Molecule: ribosomal RNA, 403 nt
Filed under: bacterium
Lineage: Bacteria
Description: partial 16S ribosomal RNA
Rfam family: Bacterial small subunit ribosomal RNA
Source: RNAcentral
UGGGGAAUAUUGCGCAAUGGGGGAAACCCUGAUGCAGCGACGCCGCGUGAACGAAGAAGGUAUUCGUAUCGUAAAGUUCUGUCCUAUGGGAAGAUAAUGACAGUACCAUAGAAGAAAGCUCCGGCUAAAUACGUGCCAGCAGCCGCGGUAAUACGUAUGGAGCGAGCGUUGUCCGGAAUUAUUGGGCGUAAAGGGUACGCAGGCGGUUUAAUAAGUCGAAUGUUAAAGAUCGGGGCUCAACCCCGUAAAGCAUUGGAAACUGAUAAACUUGAGUAGUGGAGAGGAAAGUGGAAUUCCUAGUGUAGUGGUGAAAUACGUAGAUAUUAGGAGGAAUACCAGUAGCGAAGGCGACGUUCUGGACACAAACUGACGCUGAGGUACGAAAGCGUGGGGAGCAAACAGG